Homo sapiens (human) is the source of this 2545-nucleotide long non-coding RNA. Ensembl annotates it as PMS1 homolog 2, mismatch repair system component pseudogene 4. Its record names the gene PMS2P4. The record is from Ensembl. Lineage: Eukaryota; Metazoa; Chordata; Mammalia; Primates; Hominidae.
GGAGGGAACUUUCCCAGGCCCCGAGGCGGAUCGGGUAUUGAGUCCAUGGAGCGAGCUGAGAGCUAGAGUACAGAACCUGCUAAGGCCAUCAAACCUAUCGAUCGGAAGUCAGUCCAUCAGAUUUGCUCUGGGCCGGUGGUACUGAGUCUAAGCACUGCGGUGAAGGAGUUAGUAGAAAACAGUCUGGAUGCUGGUGCCACCAAUAUUGAUCUAAAGCUUAAGGACUAUGGAGUGGAUCUCAUUGAAGUUUCAGACAAUGGAUGUGGGGUAGAAGAAGAAAACUUUGAAGGCUUAACGAUGUCACCAUUUCUACCUGCCACGCAUCGGCGAAGGUUGGGACUCGACUGGUGUUUGAUCACGAUGGGAAAAUCAUCCAGAAAACCCCCUACCCCCACCCCAGAGGGACCACAGUCAGCGUGAAGCAGUUAUUUUCUACACUACCUGUGCACCAUAAGGAAUUUCAAAGGAAUAUUAAGAAGACGUGCCUGUUUCCCCUUCGCCUUCUGCCGUGAUUGUCAGUUUCCUGAGGCCUCCCCAGCCAUGCUUCCUGUACAGCCUGCAGAACUGCUGGGAAGUCCAAGAUCAAGGUGCUGGCAUUUUGCCAGGGCCUUCUUGCUGUGUCACCACAUCCGUGGCUGAAGGUGAUCUCAGCCCUCCUCCAGGCUUCGAUUAUAACUUACAGGAUUGUGAUUCACACAUUUCAGUUUCCACCACAGGCCCCUCCAGACAUGUCCAUCUGCCUGCUGUGUUGACUUUUCCCUUUGGAGUCUUGAGGCAGCUACAAGCUUACUGACCAGAAAUGAACUCAAGCUCUCCCCGAAGCCUGGUCCUCUUCCAGGAUCAGCCAGCCUGGAAGAUGGCACUGUCAUCCACCCUGUUCUCAGGCCUGCCACCCAGGAGUCAACCUUAGCCCCAUCUAAUUGUCAGAGGCAUCUGAACCACAGCAACUCCAUCUUGAGUAGGGGAUGGGUAAAAUGAGGCUGAGACCUGCUGGGCUGCAUUCCCAGACAGCCAAGGCAUUAGCCACAGGAUAAGAUAGGCGGUCGGUACAAGACACAGGUCAUAAAGACCUUGCUGAUAAAACAGUUGGCAGUAAAGAAGCCAGCCAAAACCCACUAAAACCAAGAUGGCAACGAGAGUGACCUCUGGUCGUCCUCACUGCUACCCUCCCACCAGCACCAUGACAGUUUACAAAUGCCAUGGCAAUGUCAGAAAGUUACCCUAUAGGGUCUAAAAAGGGGAGGCAUGAAUAAUCUACCCCUUGUUUAGCAUAUCAUCAAGAAAUAACCAUAAAAAUAGGCAACCAGCAGCCCUCAGGGAUGCUCUGUCUAUGGAGUAGCCAUUCUUUUGUUCCUUUACUCUCUUAAUAAACUUGUUUUCACUUUACUCUAUGGACUCGCCCUGAAUUCUCUCUUGUGCAAGAUCCAAGAACCCUCUCUUGGGGUCUGGAUCGGGACCCCUUUCCUGUAACAUAAUCAAUUUGGUGCCAAAUGCAUGAAGUGUUAUCUUCUAGGUCUCUCAAAUCCAUCCACUGUUCUCCAUCCAGGAGAGUGUCACCAGGGCUGGCACAGAUGGUUGCAUACUGCAGAAAGGUCACCACGCAAGCCAUUACCUCUCACCUGUUCCAUGAAAAUACCAACUCAUCUCCUUCCCUUUUGGCCUCUCCAAGCCAUAUUCCAAUCCACAGCUAAAACGAUUUCAUUAAAAUGCAAAUCUAAUCCCGUUGUUCCUUUGCAUAACUGCCCUGGGGAGAGGCCCGGCCUCUGCCUCCCCGAGUCAUCACCCAUUAUGUGCCCCUGGUGUCCCCGUGUGGCCUGGCUCUUCCCUUCACUUCCCACAUCGUCCUUCAGCUCCAGCCACUGUGGCCUUCCUGCAGCUGCCCAGGUGUGUCACGCUCCAGUAUUUGUCCAUUUUCACGCUGCUGAUAAAGACAUGCCCGAGACUGGGUAAUUUAUAAAGAAAAAGAGGUUUAAUGGACUCACAGUUCCAUGUGGCUGGAGAGGCCUCACAAUCGUGGUGGAAGGCAAAAGCCAUGUCUUACAUGGCGGCAGACAAGAGAGAGAGUGAGAGCCAAGCAAAAGGGGAAAUCCCUUUUAAAACCAUCAGAUCUCGUGAGACUUAUUCACUACCAUGAAGACAGUAUGGGAGAAAGAGCCCCCAUGAUUCAAUUACCUCCCACCAGGUCCCUCCCUAAACGUGGGAAUUAUGGGAGCUAUCAUUCAAGAUGAGAUUUGGGUGGGGACACAGCCAAACCCUAUCAGCCCCCGCCCCCUACCCCAGGAAUUGGAAGAAUUCUUCUCUUAGGCACCAGCACAAUCAGUGCACGCCUCCUCCCACAUCUCUGACUCCAUCUCUCCAAUGACAAUCACCCAGAGACUGUCUCUCUCUUCUGUGGCUCUUACCAUCACUUGUAUUUGAUGUAUAAUAUUUAUUUCUGUGGAUCUUUGUCUUUGAUGAAUGUGGCACAUCAUAAUGAUAAGAAAUAUCCUUUCUUUUUCCUAUCCUCCUUUUACUUAUCAAUAAAUCCCCUGUAACUAGAACAAAA